CCAGUCUGCAUGGAGCCGACCUUGAAAUACCACCCUUUAAUGUUUGAUGUUCUAACGUGGACCCGUAAUCCGGGUUGCGGACAGUGUCUGGUGGGUAGUUUGACUGGGGCGGUCUCCUCCUAAAGAGUAACGGAGGAGCACGAAGGUUGGCUAAUCCUGGUCGGACAUCAGGAGGUUAGUGCAAUGGCAUAAGCCAGCUUGACUGCGAGCGUGACGGCGCGAGCAGGUGCGAAAGCAGGUCAUAGUGAUCCGGUGGUUCUGAAUGGAAGGGCCAUCGCUCAACGGAUAAAAGGUACUCCGGGGAUAACAGGCUGAUACCGCCCAAGAGUUCAUAUCGACGGCGGUGUUUGGCACCUCGAUGUCGGCUCAUCACAUCCUGGGGCUGAAGUAGGUCCCAAGGGUAUGGCUGUUCGCCAUUUAAAGUGGUACGCGAGCUGGGUUUAGAACGUCGUGAGACAGUUCGGUCCCUAUCUGCCGUGGGCGCUGGAGAACUGAGGGGGGCUGCUCCUAGUACGAGAGGACCGGAGUGGACGCAUCACUGGUGUUCGGGUUGUCAUGCCAAUGGCACUGCCCGGUAGCUAAAUGCGGAAGAGAUAAGUGCUGAAAGCAUCUAAGCACGAAACUUGCCCCGAGAUGAGUUCUCCCUGAGACUUAGAGUCUCCUGAAGGAACGUUGAAGACGACGACGUUGAUAGGCCGGGUGUGUAAGCGCAGCGAUGCGUUGAGCUAACCGGUACUAAUGAACCGUGAGG
RNAcentral lists this ribosomal RNA (751 nucleotides) under Salmonella enterica subsp. enterica. Its description in RNAcentral is "partial 23S ribosomal RNA". It matches the Rfam family "Bacterial large subunit ribosomal RNA", at positions 2171 to 2916 of the family's 2925-position model. Lineage: Bacteria; Pseudomonadati; Pseudomonadota; Gammaproteobacteria; Enterobacterales; Enterobacteriaceae. The record is from RNAcentral.